UACACCAAUAUUUUGAUAACAAAUGCAUAUCUAACAACAUAUAACACGAUAUUAAUGAAAAUAGGUUAAGCUAAUACAUAAAUUCCAACAUAAACUUGUUUAGUUCAUCAUUCUAACAAAAUAACAAAGAGAUUCUCAUAAACAUAUCAUUACAAAUAUGAAGAACUAAAUGAAAGGAAUACAAAAGUUGAGAUAAAACCCUUUUAAAUACGAAUUGUAAUUCCUUCAAUGUAUUCUUCAAGCUUUCCCUAAUGAUCUCCUUACUAUAUCCACUUGAUUCCCAAAAUAAAACUAAAAUUAACAAAAGAAAAUAAAAUUAAAAGAAAAAAAAUCAAGAAAAAGAGAGAGAGAGACCAAGAGAGAUAGAGAGAAAAG
Molecule: long non-coding RNA, 375 nt
Filed under: Olea europaea (common olive)
Lineage: Eukaryota; Viridiplantae; Streptophyta; Magnoliopsida; Lamiales; Oleaceae
Description: long non-coding RNA (OEUR_LNC012581)
Source: RNAcentral